Long non-coding RNA from Gossypium arboreum, 1545 nucleotides. RefSeq lists it as uncharacterized. The transcript has 2 exons. NCBI's taxonomy places the organism in Eukaryota, Viridiplantae, Streptophyta, Magnoliopsida, Malvales, Malvaceae. The record is from RefSeq and is a predicted model, not a curated record.
UUUCGGGAUCUGCGGUUGAAUCAUGUUUGCCAUUAUGACGUCAACACGAACCUAGCUCGGAUACCACUUGUUGGAAGCGACUUUUUAAUGUUGCUACCAUCUUGAUUUUUCAUCAAGUUUCCAACAUGAUAAGCUUUAUCCAAUUUGCAAAGUUGUAUGAGGUAGAAGCCAAUUUGGUUGAAGAAUAUUUUGGGUGAAUUAUCUAUUAUACAAGAAGGUCCAAUUACAAUUUAUGUUGACAACAAGUCCACAAUAUCUCUUGCAAAGAAUCCAGUGUCUCAUAGUCGAAGCAAACAUAUCAAUACAAAGUAUCAUUUUAUUCGAGAGCAAGUGAAAAAUAAAAAUGUGGAGUUAGUUUACUGCAGAACAGAAGAUCAACUGGCGGGCAUUUUUACGAAGCCAUUGAAAGCGGACAUAUUCCAUAAACUCAAAGAAAAGCUUGGAAUGAAAAAUUCGGUUUGAGGGGGAGUGUUAGAAAUCAAACCAACUUUUCAAAAUCAAAAAUUACAACUAAAGAGUUUGUACCCAAAUUGGCUUCUACCUCAUCCAACUUGGUUUUCAAAUUGAAUACAACUUUGCAAAUUGUAUAAAGCUUAUCAUGUUGGAAACUUCAUGAAAAAUCAAGAUGGUAGCAACAUUGAAAAGUCCUACAAGGCAAGGCAUGUACAAUGGAUAAGCAUUAUCAUUUAUGAUAUACUUAAGGGAUAAGUAAUCAUUAAGGUAGCUAGACUAUGUCUAUAUAUAUAUAUGUAUAGUUCAUGUGUGUGUGCUGAGAAAAAAAUUAGCUAGAGUUUGAGAGAAAAAAAAAAGUGUUGUGAGUAUAGAAAGAAAAACUAGCAGCAGCUAGUAUAGUGAGAAAAAAAAUAAAGAGUGUCGAAGCCAUUUUUUUGAAAAACGGGGUCGACUUUGGUUUUGAAAAUGAUAAACGAAAAUUGGGAGUCGCCACCAAUCUUUUUUGUUUAGGUGUGAUCGGAUCACCUAAAUAUUUGGUCAUUUUAAUAAAACAUUUUGGUUUACUAAAACAACGAUUUUGGUCUACGAAAUUUGAGAAAACGGGUUUGGGAGUCGGUUACGUACGAGGAAGGAUUAACACCCUCGUAACGCCCAAAAUUGGUACUUAAUUGAUUAAUUAGUGUCUUAAUGUCAAAAUUAAAAACUCGAAAAGAAUUUAGAAUACGAUCUUUUUUUUUAUGUUGAUCUAUACGAAGAAUUUGCUUGAGUAAAUCGAAAUGGAUUCUAAUGACUUUCUUGUCCCGAAGUAAUAAAAUGUCACAUCCAGUACGUUAGGACACAACAUUUCAGACCCUCGAGAAUAAGUUGGUCUUUUGAUUUUCAAAACUCACGUGUUUAAAUUUUAAAAGGUUAUUCAGUCAUUUGGGUCAAACGAAGAAAUCGAAACCCAGCACGUAGGGCACAAUCUCUAGAAUCUCCAAACACGGAAUAUUGUCUUGUUUUUUAAAUUUUUGAGUAAUAGCGAUUGUAAAAUCGAAACGAUGUGCAUUUAUUUAUUUGGAGUAAAAUAAAGCGAUCUAUAUUGGAUAAAAA